ACAAGCCUGUCCACCUGAUGGAGGCCAGUCGCUGUGGUUCAAAGCCAACAUCGACUACGUGGACUUCUACUGGACCACAUGGAGGCCUUCAAACCGGACCAACAAGUUCAGCGACUCCCCGACUCGUGGGUCUGAGGACGCCGCCGAGCCUCGGUCCAGCCGGCCUCCUGUCUGUGGGUGUUUGAGUGCUGAGAGUUUUGUGGAUGCAUGUGAACGUUCUGUGUUGAAACAGCAGCUUUUGACUCAGUAACGCCAGGAAAAACCAAGAGCUCCUUUAUUUGUGACUUCCACUAAAAAACUGAUGAAAAUAAUUUUGCCAGGGUUCUGACUGUUAACAGAUUAUUAAAUAAUGAAAAUAAUCGUUUAAAUAUUCCUUUAAACAAUCCUUUCAGGUCUACAUUUCCUUUACACUGACUUCUUGGUAUAUGUACAAGUAUUUUAGGUGGAAUAUACCAUUAAGCCUGUUCUUCUGGGAAUAUACCAUUAAACCAACCUUUUAGGUAAAUGUUCCAGGAUGUUAGGUAGAAUAUACCAUCAGAUCAACCUUUUAGGUCUACAUUGGAAGAUUUUAGAGUAGAAUAUUACUCCAAACCAUCCUUUAGGUCUACAUUUAAGGUGGAAUACUCCUUUACACCAAGAUUUUUUGGUCUGCAUUGAAGGAUUUUAGGUGGAAUAUUCCUUUGAACGAACUUUUUAAGUUUAUGUUCAAGGAUGUUGGGUGGAAUAUACCAUCAGACCAACCUCCAAGGUCUACAGUAGUGAAUUUUAGGUGGAAUAUACCAUUAAACUCACCUUUUAGGUCUACAUUGGAUGAUUUUAGGUGGAAUUUUCUUCCAAACCGUCUUUUAGUCUACAUUUAAGGAUGUUUAGGAUGGUAUAUUCUUCCAAACCAACUUCUCAGGUCUACAUUUCAGGUGGAAUAUUCCUCCAUACUAACUUUUUUGGUCUACAUUGAAGGAUUUUUUCUAAACCACCCUUCCGGGUCUAUAUUUGAGGUUUUAGGUGGAAUAUUCCUCCAUACUAACUUUUUUGGUCUACAUUGAAGGAUUUUUUCUAAACCACCCUUUCGGGUCUAUAUUUGAGGUUUUAGGUGGAAUAUUCCUUUUAACCAGCCCCUCAGGUCUCUUUCAGGAUUUUGGAUGGAAUACUCUGUUAAACCAACAUUUUAGGUGCAUGUCCAAGGAUUUUUGGUGGAAUGUUCCUUUAAGGUGGAUGUUUGAGGACCUUGUAGAUGGAAUACUUCCUGAAACCAACCUUUCAGGUCAACAUUCAAAGAUUUAAGGUGGAAUAUUCCUUUAAACCAACCUAAAUUUCAUGUUUUGAUCAUUAUCAAGUGAGAAACCUCAAUCCAGACUCCUCAUAAUGACGUUUGAGAUUUAUGCUGCUGUUAUUUGUUUAGUCCAGACUAAAUGACAGAAAUCCACAACUGUAAUUUUAUUUCAGGACUCGGUUAUUAAAUGUCCAAACAAUCCAUGUGACUCUAAAAACUCAACAGCUUUACAAACUCUAAGAUUAAACUCUCCACAAGGAUCCAAAAUAAGUUGGACUUCUACAUGAGAGCUUUAAUUAUUCUUCAUCUACUUCCUGAAAAAUUUGGUCAAUAAAAAAGACAAAAACUAAUAUUUUCAGCUGAACUAAAGACAGACUUUGUGAUUUUUAUGCUCACAUGUUGUGUUGUUGUAAACUUACUCUUUCAAAUAAAUAUCCGCCUAACCCCCUGGAAA
Molecule: long non-coding RNA, 1724 nt
Organism: Amphiprion ocellaris (clown anemonefish)
Lineage: Eukaryota; Metazoa; Chordata; Actinopteri; Pomacentridae
Exons: 2
Source: RefSeq, a predicted model, not a curated record